UACGGAGGCUGCAAGCGUUAUCCGGAAUGAUUGGGCGUAAAGCGUCCGCAGGUGGCUGUGUAAGUCUGCUGUUAAAGAGUCUAGCUCAACUAGAUACAAGCAGUGGAAACUACACGGCUAGAGUACGUUCGGGGCAGAGGGAAUUCCUGGUGUAGCGGUGAAAUGCGUAGAGAUCAGGAAGAACACCGGUGGCGAAGGCGCUCUGCUAGGCCGUAACUGACACUGAGGGACGAAAGCUAGGGGAGCGAAUGGG
This 253-nucleotide ribosomal RNA is filed under the name uncultured bacterium. Its description in RNAcentral is "partial 16S ribosomal RNA". It matches the Rfam family "Bacterial small subunit ribosomal RNA", at positions 524 to 776 of the family's 1533-position model. The record is from RNAcentral.